Molecule: transfer RNA, 74 nt
Filed under: Jatropha curcas
Lineage: Eukaryota; Viridiplantae; Streptophyta; Magnoliopsida; Malpighiales; Euphorbiaceae
Rfam family: tRNA
About the family: Transfer RNA (tRNA) molecules are approximately 80 nucleotides in length. Their secondary structure includes four short double-helical elements and three loops (D, anti-codon, and T loops). Further hydrogen bonds mediate the characteristic L-shaped molecular structure. tRNAs have two regions of fundamental functional importance: the anti-codon, which is responsible for specific mRNA codon recognition, and the 3' end, to which the tRNAs corresponding amino acid is attached (by aminoacyl-tRNA synthetases). tRNAs cope with the degeneracy of the genetic code in two manners: having more than one tRNA (with a specific anti-codon) for a particular amino acid; and 'wobble' base-pairing, i.e. permitting non-standard base-pairing at the 3rd anti-codon position.
Source: Rfam by way of RNAcentral
AGAGGUGUAGCACAGUUUGGUCAGCACAUAUGUUUUGGAUACAAAAAAUAUAGGUUCGAAUCUUGUCACUUUGA